RNAcentral lists this long non-coding RNA (2096 nucleotides) under Sus scrofa (pig). RNAcentral describes it as "lncRNA (ENSSSCG00000043222.2)". Lineage: Eukaryota; Metazoa; Chordata; Mammalia; Artiodactyla; Suidae. The record is from RNAcentral.
GGGUCGCGCGGAAUAUGGACGUUCCCAGGCUAGGGGUCAAAUAAGAACUGCAGCUGCCGGACCUACACCACAGCCACAGCAACGCGGGAUCCUUAACCCACUAACAGAGGCCAGGGAUCGAACCAGACACGAUUGUUCUGCAUCUGAAAACUAAGAAUGUCUUUUUCAUAAGGCAGCUAUCAAACCACAUGCCCCACCCCAGGCCUUGGUAAUGCGUGAUCCCCACGCAGAGGGCCAGCCAGGGCGGCCCCUCGCAGAGCCUGUCCACUCUGGAAGAGCCGCAAGCAACGAUCUCACUCCCGGGAACAUACAGAGAACAAUACGCGAGCCCUGGAGGCACUCGAAGAAGGUCCAAACACUGCAAUCAACCCAAGCGGCACCUAAGGAAUAAACCGAUCACAUGGCAUGGAUCCCCAUGACAAGAUACUAUCUCUGCAGAAGUUAAAAUUCAUCAGCUAGGAGUUCCCGAGUGGUGCAUCGAGUUAAAGAUCCAGAGUUGUCACCAUAGCAGCUCGGGUCGCUGCCCAGGAUCCCUGGCCCAGGAACUUCCACAUGCUAUGGACCAAAAAAUACAAAUAAUAAUUCAUCAACUAGAUGUAACAGUACUAACACACUGCUAAAUGCUAUUUUUAAAAAUAAUAACAAUAGGGGAGCUCCCUGGUGGCCUAGUGUUAAGGAUCUGGCAUCGUCACCACCAGGGAUUAAACCUGCACCCUCAUGGACACUAUGUGGGGUUCUUAACCUGCUGAGCCACGACGGGAACUCCCUGUUUUUUUUUCUCUGUAUUAUGCUUCUUCUUUUUUUUAGUCUUUUUAGAGUUGCACCGGCGGCAUAUGGAGGUUCCCAGGCUAGGGGUCAGAUCGGAGCUCUAGCUGCCGGCCUACACCACAGCUCACAGCAAGGCAGGAUCUGAGCUACAUCUGUGACCUACACCACAGCUCAUGGCCACGCAGAAUCCUUAACCCACUGAGCAAGGCCAGGGAUCAAAUCUGUGUCUUCAAGGGUGAGAAUUGGGUUUGUUGACUGCUGAGCCACAACGAGAACUCCCUGUUUUUGUUUUUGUUUUUUUUUCUCUGUAUUACACUUCUCAUCCUCAAAACAAUCGUAGAAAAUAGGUACUGUUUCAGUCUCUAUUUAUAGGGAAACUGAGGCACCGAGCGACAUGCCAUGGGGGAUGGGAACCCACGCCAUCAAAAUCCCUGCUGGUAACCACUUGGGUCCGCUUGCCUGUCUCAACAUGGAGAGGAAAUUACUAGGUUGAGUUAUAUAAAAAGCUGUCAAUAUUCGACCACUUUUGACCUACAAAACCGGCAGAGGCCUAGGGCUCAUUCUAAUAGCAAACUGCAGCACCGCACACACAGGAAGACACAUCCACGUGCAUUUGUGCAUUUUUCCAGCCUAGAGAUGAGUCGGGGCCCCAGGCUGUGCAGGAAACCACGCACAGGCCCGCGCAAAUAUGACAACAUUUUCAGAAAAGCACAUGUCCGAGGGAGAAGUGGCAGGGAGGGGACUCAAGCGACCAGAAGGUCACCUGUCAUCUUUUUCUUUUUAAAUAAAAGGCAGCCUCCUCCCUGGUGGCCUGUGGUCCACCUCCUAGUUGGAGGCUGGUUGGAAUCUUCCUCCCCUCUCUCCAUGGUAGCCUUCUGCCCCCCCACCCCUGACCCCACACAGCUCAUCCAUGAGCAGCGGGUCCCCAGGGCCUGGUCUCCAGAGCCUCUCCACUCAGGCGGGAGAAGCUCUCCCCACCUAGGAUCCAGUUUCAUUUAAUUGCAGGCUUCAGGUUUCUGGACGCAGGCCCAGAGGCCUUCGGGGCCGAAGGCGUGGGCCAUUUUCUUCCUCUUUUCAAUAAAGCCGGGAAGCAAGCAGCAUGUGGCAUCAGGGGUCUGUUCCCAGAGCGCGGGGCACCUGCUCCUUAGGGACGCAGCUGUGGCAUGGGAGACCCCACCAAGGAGAAUCAUCUGUGGCUCAUCAUGGGUGGGGGGACAGCCUAGGGGCACAUUUUUUUUCUCUGGCCCUUCACUGGAACCAGGUACCCCGCUGGAUUUGAAGGAAUUAAGAAAAAAAAGAGAGAAGUUCCCACUGUGGCUCAUCAGGUU